CCCUUAGAUGUUCUGGGCCGCACGCGCGCUACACUGACGAAUGCAACGAGCUUAUAACCUUGGCCGAAAGGUCUGGGUAAUCUCCAAAUUUCGUCGUGAUGGGGAUAGAUUAUUGCAAUUAUUAAUCUUCAACGAGGAAUUCCUAGUAAACGCAAGUCAUCAGCUUGCAUUGAUUACGUCCCUGCCCUUUGUACACACCGCCCGUCGCACCUACCGAUUGAAUGGUCCGGUGAAAUCUCGGGACGGCGGCUUGGUCGCUUGCGUCCGACUGCUGAAACUUGAUUAAACCAUAUCAUUUAGAGGAAGGUGAAGUCGUANCA
This 320-nucleotide ribosomal RNA is filed under the name uncultured eukaryote. Its description in RNAcentral is "partial 18S ribosomal RNA". It matches the Rfam family "Eukaryotic small subunit ribosomal RNA", at positions 1470 to 1796 of the family's 1831-position model. The record is from RNAcentral.